UCGGCUUAGAGUUUGAUCAUGGCUCAGGAUGAACGCUAGCGGCAGGCUUAACACAUGCAAGUCGAGGGGUAUGCAUCUUCGGAUGCGAGACCGGCGCACGGGUGCGUAACGCGUAUGCAAUCUGCCUUUCACAGAGGGAUAGCCCAGAGAAAUUUGGAUUAAUACCUCAUAGUAUUACGAAGGCAUCUUUUGUAAUUAAAGUCACAACGGUGAAAGAUGAGCAUGCGUCCCAUUAGUUAGUUGGUAAGGUAACGGCUUACCAAGACUUCGAUGGGUAGGGGUCCUGAGAGGGAGAUCCCCCACACUGGUACUGAGACACGGACCAGACUCCUACGGGAGGCAGCAGUGAGGAAUAUUGGUCAAUGGGCGCAAGCCUGAACCAGCCAUGCCGCGUGCAGGAUGACGGUCCUUGGACUGUAAACUGCUUUUGUACGAGAAGAAACACUGCUUCGUGAAGCAGCUUGACGGUAUCGUAAGAAUAAGGAUCGGCUAACUCCGUGCCAGCAGCCGCGGUAAUACGGAGGAUCCAAGCGUUAUCCGGAAUCAUUGGGUUUAAAGGGUCCGUAGCGGUCUUGUAAGUCAGUGGUGAAAGCCCGUCGCUCAACGACGGAACGGCCAUUGAUACUGCAGACUUGAAUUAUUGGGAAGUAACUAGAAUAUGUAGUGUAGCGGUGAAAUGCUUAGAGAUUACAUGGAA
This 697-nucleotide ribosomal RNA is filed under the name uncultured Flavobacterium sp. RNAcentral's name for it is "bacterial SSU rRNA". It matches the Rfam family "Bacterial small subunit ribosomal RNA", at positions 1 to 706 of the family's 1533-position model. The record is from RNAcentral. Lineage: Bacteria; Pseudomonadati; Bacteroidota; Flavobacteriia; Flavobacteriales; Flavobacteriaceae.